UCGCCCAGUCGGUGGGGGAAUAACUAGACCGGUAAAGGUUAGCUAAUACCGCAUACGACCGAGAGGUAGAAAGGCGGGGGACCGCAAGGCCUCGCGCGAUUGGAUGAGCCGACGUCGGAUUAGCUAGUUGGUGGGGUAAAGGCCCACCAAGGCGACGAUCCGUAGCUGGUCUGAGAGGAUGAUCAGCCACACUGGAACUGAGACACGGUCCAGACUCCUACGGGAGGCAGCAGUGGGGAAUAUUGGACAAUGGGCGCAAGCCUGAUCCAGCAAUGCCGCGUGUGUGAAGAAGGCCUUCGGGUUGUAAAGCACUUUUAUCAGGAACGAAAAGCGUUGGAUUAAUACUCUGACGUGCUGACGGUACCUGAGGAAUAAGCACCGGCUAACUUCGUG
This 393-nucleotide ribosomal RNA is filed under the name uncultured bacterium. RNAcentral's name for it is "bacterial SSU rRNA". It matches the Rfam family "Bacterial small subunit ribosomal RNA", at positions 126 to 507 of the family's 1533-position model. The record is from RNAcentral.